AGUGAAUAGAUACCCGGGUAGUCCACGCUGUAAACGAUGAUUACUCGAUGUUGGCGAUAUACUGUCAGCGUCUAAAGCGAAAGCAUUAAGUAAUCCACCUGGGGAGUACGGCCGCAAGGUUGAAACUCAAAGGAAUUGACGGGGGCCCGCACAAGCGGAGGAGCAUGUGGUUUAAUUCGAUGAUACGCGAGGAACCUUACCUGGGCUAGAACGCUGGACGACUGUACCGGAAACGGUACUUCCCUUCGGGGCGGCCAGCGAGGUGCUGCAUGGUUGUCGUCAGCUCGUGCCGUGAGGUGUCGGGUUAAGUCCCAUAACGAGCGCAACCCCUAUCAUUAGUUGCCAUCAGGUAAAGCUGGGGACUCUAAUGAAACUGCCUACGCAAGUAGUGAGGAAGGUGGGGAUGACGUCAAAUCAGCACGGCCCUUACGUCCAGGGCUACACACGUGCUACAAUGGCCGGUACAACGGGUUGCUACCUGGUGACAGGAUGCUAAUCUCUAAAACCGGUCUCAGUUCGGAUCGAAGUCUGCAACUCGACUUC
This 543-nucleotide ribosomal RNA is filed under the name uncultured bacterium. RNAcentral describes it as "bacterial SSU rRNA". It matches the Rfam family "Bacterial small subunit ribosomal RNA", at positions 774 to 1319 of the family's 1533-position model. The record is from RNAcentral.